Molecule: non-coding RNA, 24 nt
Filed under: Cricetulus griseus (Chinese hamster)
Lineage: Eukaryota; Metazoa; Chordata; Mammalia; Rodentia; Cricetidae
Source: RNAcentral
AAAUGUUCUAGGUCUUUUGAUGGU